RNAcentral lists this transfer RNA (72 nucleotides) under Phrynosoma platyrhinos (Desert horned lizard). RNAcentral describes it as "tRNA-OTHER". The record is from RNAcentral. Lineage: Eukaryota; Metazoa; Chordata; Lepidosauria; Squamata; Phrynosomatidae.
GCCAGUAUGGUGUAGUGGUUUGAGUACUGGACUAUGACUCUGGAGACCAGGUUUUGAAUCCCUGCUCAGCCA